RNA transcript from Peromyscus leucopus (white-footed mouse), 2418 nucleotides. It is a transcript of the gene named serine and arginine rich splicing factor 3, with no coding region annotated. The record is from RefSeq and is a predicted model, not a curated record. Lineage: Eukaryota; Metazoa; Chordata; Mammalia; Rodentia; Cricetidae. The transcript is spliced from 7 exons.
GAAGGCGGUGGUCCGCCAUUUCGUGGACGCCAGGGGACGGAGCGCAUCUGCGGAAGCAGGUUCCCGAAGGGCGCGGGUGGGCCUGUCGGAGUGUUGGGAUUUGAGCUUCGGCUGUGUGAACCCAGGAUCUCGAAAUGCAUCGUGAUUCCUGUCCAUUAGAUUGUAAGGUGUAUGUAGGUAAUCUUGGAAACAAUGGGAACAAGACUGAAUUAGAACGGGCUUUUGGCUAUUAUGGACCACUCCGAAGUGUGUGGGUUGCUCGAAACCCUCCUGGCUUUGCGUUCGUUGAAUUUGAGGAUCCCCGAGAUGCCGCUGAUGCUGUCCGAGAGCUUGAUGGAAGAACACUAUGUGGCUGCCGUGUAAGAGUGGAACUUUCGAAUGGUGAAAAAAGAAGUCGGAAUCGUGGCCCACCUCCCUCCUGGGGUCGUCGCCCUCGAGAUGAUUACCGCAGGAGGAGUCCUCCACCUCGGCGAAGAGUCACCAUCAUGUCUCUUCUCACCACCCUCUGAAUCUGCAUUAGCCAGUCAACUAGCCCUUUCAGCGUCAUGUGACCAGCGCGCCCCAUUCAGCUUGGCUGGUGUCGUUUCACAUGACCCAGGCUGGCCAGUCGUCAGGUUGCACCGCCCUUUGGUUCCCGAGCAUGCUGUUUUCUCUCAGCCUUCUCUCCAACCUUAACCAAAUCGGCAGCAGCCACCUCGACCGCCCACACAUUCCUGGCCAAUCAGCUCAGCUGUUUAUUUACCAAAUGUCUUCACAACAACUACAGCAGCAGCCUUCGGCUAACAAAAAAGCAGGAAAAAUCCACAACACCCCCUUCGCCAACCAACUAAAUCCAACGCAACAUCUGGCAAAACCUUUUCAGCAAAUUCUUCCUGGCCGUCAGUCCGGCAGCCUCACCUCACCAUUUCUAGCUUGUUGAAACCCAAAACUAAUCUCCAAGAAGGAGAAGCUUCUCUCGAAGCCGGAGCAGGUCACUUUCUAGAGAUAGGAGAAGAGAAAGGUCUCUGUCUCGCGAGAGAAAUCACAAGCCGUCUCGAUCCUUCUCUAGGUCUCGUAGCCGAUCUAGGUCAAAUGAAAGGAAGUAGAAGACCAGUUUGCAAAAGAAGUGAUGUACAGGAAAGAACUUCAUUUGACAGGAGUAUGUACAGGAAAUUCAAGUUUGUUUGAGACUUCAUAAGCUUGGUGCAUUUUUAAGAUGUUUUAGCUGUUCAAAUUUGUUUUGUCUCUUGGAACGGUGACACACAACGAUGUAAUUCUCUGUGGUUCCAAAUGGAUCCUAGGAGGCAUGUAAUAUCAAAAAGUGUUACUUUACAAUGUUCCCUUAAGCAAGAUUGAAUUUGCUUUGAACUUUAGUUUUUCAUAGACUGAAAUAAACCUAGAUAAUGCCCAGUUAAAGUGUGAUGUGCUAAUGAUAUAGAAAGAGCUGGCAGAAAUGGAAAAAGCUGUAGUUUCUCUAGUAGCUGGGAUACGAGUGGAGCUGUGGGGGAAUGAUAAGCAGUCUUUAAAAAGCUGCUGUGAACACAAGCCAACAGGUAAAGGGUGGGAACUGCACUCCAAAGGUUUGCAAAGAGGUUCCUCACCGAUUGCUAUAGAUGGACAAAAAGCUGUUUGUAACAUUUUAUUUGAAAUGGAAGGCUUUAAGUUAGCAGUGUCCUAACAGUUUAAGGGUACAUUGUAGAGCUGAACUUUUGAGUUACUGUGCAAGAUAUCUUUUUCAUGCUGUCAUUUGUAAUAUGUUUGUGAGAAUCCUUGGGAUUAAAGUUUUGGUUACAAAUUGUUGUUUAACUUGAAAGCCUGUUUUUCCUUGCACACUCAGAUCUGUGAGCUUGGUAUCAAGUCCAAGUAUAACAUUCCUAUUGGAAGCCAUACUUAUAUUUUCUUGUAAAGUGCUUUUGGAUUAAUAAAAUACUAGCAUAAUUGUGUAGUGGUCAGUUGAACCCACUGUUAACAUUGUUCUUAUCCCUGGGGAAGCAGUUUGGUUACCCAGUUCUUUCUUUGUAAGAAACUUAACUGAGAGGCACUGGAUUAGUGAAUAAAAAUUUUUUCCCCUUUGGUUGUUAUCUAAGAGUUAGACAUUCUUUAGGAGUUGAAGCCAGUUCAGGAUCAUGACACUGACUGACAUUUUAAAAUAGCACCAGUGUGGUGUGUUGUAACUCUUUAAGUUGCCCGUAAAAAGUGGCUUUGAUCUUCAGCAUGAAAACAUUUCAACAAAGUUUUAAACGUGGAUUUCAUUUUAUAACUUGAGGUCUUGCAUGGGAUUCCAAACUGAUCCAUCAUGAUGUAAAAUCCACCAUAUGGUUCAAUGUAACGAUGCACAGUUGAAUAUGGAGGCAUGCAUCCCCUUUCUCUUAGAAGUCUGGAGGAGUUGUGGUUUCAGAUUUGUGUGUGUGCAAUUAGAUUAAAUCAUAAUGCAACAGU